RNAcentral lists this ribosomal RNA (278 nucleotides) under Escherichia coli. RNAcentral's name for it is "partial 23S ribosomal RNA". It matches the Rfam family "Bacterial large subunit ribosomal RNA", at positions 919 to 1195 of the family's 2925-position model. Lineage: Bacteria; Pseudomonadati; Pseudomonadota; Gammaproteobacteria; Enterobacterales; Enterobacteriaceae. The record is from RNAcentral.
CAAGGGGGUCAUCCCGACUUACCAACCCGAUGCAAACUGCGAAUACCGGAGAAUGUUAUCACGGGAGACACACGGCGGGUGCUAACGUCCGUCGUGAAGAGGGAAACAACCCAGACCGCCAGCUAAGGUCCCAAAGUCAUGGUUAAGUGGGAAACGAUGUGGGAAGGCCCAGACAGCCAGGAUGUUGGCUUAGAAGCAGCCAUCAUUUAAAGAAAGCGUAAUAGCUCACUGGUCGAGUCGGCCUGCGCGGAAGAUGUAACGGGGCUAAACCAUGCACC